Molecule: long non-coding RNA, 2046 nt
Organism: Branchiostoma floridae (Florida lancelet)
Lineage: Eukaryota; Metazoa; Chordata; Leptocardii; Amphioxiformes; Branchiostomatidae
Exons: 3
Source: RefSeq, a predicted model, not a curated record
UAGUCGUAGCCAGCACGUUUUGCCACAAAACGGGCGCGUCCAUACCGAAGUGUUGCGGAAGUAAGCCCUAUUUCAGUGCCUGGUAUAAAUUUGUGCACGCAUUGGGCCGAAAUAUCCAGCUAAAUACACAAAUGAUCCGUUUACAGCCUGCAGGCCCGGGUGGGGCGGUGACGGGAGGACUCAAGGUGGAUCCACAGGAGCAGAAGAAGGCCCUGAGGCAGGAGGUCUGGGCGAACGUCAAAGUCUUUGUGGUCAUCGUGGCUGCACUUCGAGCCGCUCCUUACAUUCUGGACAAGAUGGGAUUUAUGGAGUCAUAAUAUCUACUGACCAGGAUGGCACGAUGUGUGGUCGAGCUCGGGUUUGAGUUUUUGGUGACACAGAUGGGAUGGAGCAUUGGACUGUGGAGUUACAGAAAUGAAGACUGCAUCAGCUGGAGUUGAACUUUUCCUAGCUAAUUCAGUGAUAUUGAGUAUCAUUGUAGUAUUUGUACUCAUUCCAAGGAAAGUUUAGUAUACGAUAAGAUGAUGUUGCGCAAUGAUCCAUGUGUUUGUCAGCAGGGCUAGCCCUUUGUAAUAGCCAUAGGCUAGUUGGGCAGCCCUGGCUGUGUGUUCGUUGCAGCCAAACCAAUAAAUAAAUAAAUAAAAUCCAUUUUGUUAUAACCACACUUUUCCUUAUUACUCCAUAAUUUGCAAGGUCACUAUUUUUAUUCUACAUUCUAAGGAACUUGACAAAAAGCAAGUAUCAGUUCUGUAAAUAAUGACAUCAUUACUUUGUCUAACCUGACCCAAUACUCUACACAUGGAUACAACCACCAAAUGACAAUUUCAGAGAAGACCCCCAUUUCCAUUGGUCAGUGAUUAUCAAUUCUUGACUGAAUUGUCUCCAGCUAAGAUUGAAUCUUGUUUUAGAUAUUGAGAAGCAGUAGAUGAUGUAGAUUUCGCCUCUUGUUUCCUGAUUGUUUUUCCACUUAAAAGCAGAUCUAGAAUCCUGGAUAUAGAUGUAUUUGCAUUGAGCCUGUUAGUUGCAACUUGAUGUGACUUGACAUAUGCUUGUGUGCGAGAUUAAAACAUAUUGUACAGAACUUCUCUCAUUCAUGUCAGUUUAAUAUUGGUAAUGGCUCUAUGAUAAUGAUCCACUGUUAGUGUAUAUAACACCCUCCAGUUUAAUUUGGAACAGGUUUUCUGCGCAGGAUUUGCGAGCGCGGGAAUUUUUUUUCUUUUGAAAUAUGUACAAAAAUGUACAACACAAAAUUGUCAUGCCUUGUUUUUCCCCCCGCGCUAUCUCAUUAAAUUUGGAGUCUGUGGAGGAUGUCAUCCGGAAAAUUUACUUGCUGUGGCCUAAAUUACAUAAUUGAUGCAUAAGGCCACAGCAAGCAAUCUUUAUGGAUGACAUCCUCUGCAGACGGCAAAAAUGAGAAAGGGCAACAAAAAAACAAGAUGGGUAAAAAACGAGAUGGCUGAAUGUUCAAAAUAGGUGCCAUAAAUGUUGUAAAAAGAACUGAAGUGACAAAACGUGGUACCACAUCCCAACAAGCCAUUUAUCCCAGCACUCUUGGUACAGCACAACUCCAUUGCAAAUGCUGGAAAAGAACAUUGUUACAGAGUGUUAAAGAAAUACUUGAUUGAAGUGGACACUCAUACGGCACUCCAUUAAAGCACUCUGUGCCCGAGUAUGUAUGUAUCCUGAUAAGGUCCAGAAUUACCGAUACACAGGUAUGUAUACCCAGACGUUUCUACAUAUAAAUUUAAGUAUAGAUACUGGUAAGCUGAGAAAACUAUAAGAGAAAUAGAAGGAAGAAAUCAUGCCACUAUGUUUUAGUUUGGUUAUAGUUGGUUUGGACCACCACCCAUGUAACAGCGGUAUGGUCCACUAGUGGUUACGUCAUGGAUGACGUUGUACCCUUGUCCACCAUCUAUGGUCCGCCGUGAUGUUGUGUUCCUGGAAUUGCCCCUGCUGUCAUCUUUGACACAUGUAGUUUCAAGUUGUGUUCCUUGAAUUGCACUUACUGUUGUGUAUACUCUCCAAGCAGAGUUCAACGGCAUCAGU